RNAcentral lists this ribosomal RNA (497 nucleotides) under uncultured bacterium. Its description in RNAcentral is "partial 16S ribosomal RNA". It matches the Rfam family "Bacterial small subunit ribosomal RNA", at positions 28 to 507 of the family's 1533-position model. The record is from RNAcentral.
GAUGAACGCUGGCGGCGUGCCUAAUACAUGCAAGUCGAGCGAACGGACGAGAAGCUUGCUUUUCUGAUGUUAGCGGCGGACGGGUGAGUAACACGUGGAUAACCUACCUAUAAGACUGGGAUAACUUCGGGAAACCGGAGCUAAUACCGGAUAAUAUUUUGAACCGCAUGGUUCAAAAGUGAAAGACGGUCUUGCUGUCACUUAUAGAUGGAUCCGCGCUGCAUUAGCUAGUUGGUAAGGUAACGGCUUACCAAGGCAACGAUGCAUAGCCGACCUGAGAGGGUGAUAGGCCACACUGGAACUGAGACACGGUCCAGACUCCUACGGGAGGCAGCAGUAGGGAAUCUUACGCAAAGGGCGAAAGCAUGACGGAGCAACGCCGCGUGAGUGAUGAAGGUCUUCGGAUCGUAAAACUCUGUUAUUAGGGAAGAACAUAUGUGUAAGUAACUGUGCACAUCUUGACGGUACCUAAUCAGAAAGCCACGGCUAACUACGUG